This 468-nucleotide ribosomal RNA is filed under the name uncultured bacterium. RNAcentral's name for it is "partial 16S ribosomal RNA". It matches the Rfam family "Bacterial small subunit ribosomal RNA", at positions 28 to 507 of the family's 1533-position model. The record is from RNAcentral.
GACGAACGCUGGCGGCGUGCUUAACACAUGCAAGUCGAACGGAAAGGCCCUGCUUUUGUGGGGUGCUCGAGUGGCGAACGGGUGAGUAACACGUGAGUAGCCUGCCCUUGACUUUGGGAUAACUUCAGGAAACUGGGGCUAAUCCCGGAUAGGAGCCCCCGCUGCAUGGUGGGGGUUAGAAAGUUUCGGCGGUCGGGGAUGGACUCGCGGCUUACCAGCUUGUUGGUUGGGUAGUGGCUUACCAAGGCUUUGACGGGUCGCCGGCCUGAGUGGGUGAGCGGCCACAUUGGGUCUGAGGUGCGGCCGAGGCGGCUACGGGAGGCAGCAGUGGGGAAUAUUGCACAAGGGGCGGCGGCCUGGUGCAGCAGCGCCGCGUGCUGGAUAGCGGCCUUCGGGUGGUAAACCACUUGCGCCUGUGACGAAGGGUGAUUGGCGGUAAUGGGUAGAAAAGCAACGGCUAACUACGUG